RNAcentral lists this long non-coding RNA (1505 nucleotides) under Piliocolobus tephrosceles (Ugandan red Colobus). Its description in RNAcentral is "lncRNA (ENSPTEG00000004930.1)". The record is from RNAcentral. Lineage: Eukaryota; Metazoa; Chordata; Mammalia; Primates; Cercopithecidae.
CUCCUUAUUAAUUACGGAUUUAUGGUAUUGAUUUUAGUUUUUGUAUAUUUUUUUUUAGAUUAUUUUAUAUUAUAAUAUAUGUAUUGUUUAAUAGAACUUAAUCUUCAUCUAUUAGUAAGAAAGUAUUUUAAAACGGAUUGUGCUUAGUACAUUUAGUAUCAUAAUCAAGUCAAAAUAUGCAGUACUAAGUUUAUAUAAAAUGGUAUUUACAAUUAGGUUUUUUUUCAUUGUUAUAAAUUAGUAUGAUAAUUCUAAAUAACUUAAAAUGCUGCUGAAAGCAUGUUUUAAAAGUUAUACAUGCGUUUUUUACGUAUUUUUUUGGAAUUGUUCUAAGCUCUUAAAAUAAAAUAUUUUUAAACAAAAAAAAUAUAAAUUAAAAAAGAAAAAUAAAUAAAAUCGUUUUUUUUUGCUUUUAUUUAUUAAAUAUUAUAAACAUUUUAUAAAUGCAGUACUUAUUUUAUAAAUACAAUACUUGUGGAAACCGAUGUUUAUAUAAUUUAUGGUAAAACAUUUAAAAAGCACUAUAAAGUGGUACCAACUUCUUUUUUUUCGUUACUUUUUUUUGUAGUAAUCAUUAAAUAAAAUAUAUUAUACAAAUUUAUUUUUUAAUGGUUUUUUUUUUUUUUUUUGGUACAUUGUACAAUCCUAGGCAUAAAAAAUAAAAAAUUACGUAAGUUAAAAUUGCAUAUAUUUUAUGUAUAUGAAUAGAUAUAUAUUUAAAAAUAUGUUUUAAAAUAAAUAUAUAAUUAAGGAAUUAAACAUGAAAUUAUUCUUUUCUAUACUAGCAAUUAAAUUUAUUGUGUUUAUACAAUUGCGCCUAAUUUACUGUAAGGAAGCAUCUUAUGAAUACCCGACAUUUGUGAGAAAUAACAAAAAAAAGAUUCAAACUGAUAUAUUAAUGAACACAGUAGAAAAUUUAAAUAAAAUACUAUUGGACACUUUAAAAUUAGAAAUCGAAAAAGCAAAAAUGUUACGAAAUAAAACGACAGUAUUUAAGGAAACGGAUUUACUAAACGAAGGAUCAUUAUUAAAUACACAAUUAUUAAGUACAUCAACGGAAUUAAAACAUAUUUCGGAAGAAUUAAACAUUAUCUCUCAUAUUUUAACAAUCGUUGACAAACGUUUUGCAGAUAAGAUGCUACAUUUGUUGAAUAAACAAAUUUAUAAUAAAAAAAAUUACGUUAGAUAUUUUGUGUAUGAUUAAAAAUGAACUACAACUGAUUUAUGAUGAACAUGAUAAUGAAAUGGAAUAUAUAACAUCCAAUAAUUUUAAAUAUACUUUUUUGUAUGCAUUUAUGAUAAUUUUUCAAUUAUUUGUUAAUCCUAUAAAUAUGACAAUGGUCAUUGGUAGUAUUUUACCGACGGUACAUGCAAAACAUUUAGCUUUACGUAUGCGUGCUAAACGAAAAAAUGAAAAGAGUCAUAAAAAAUUUUGUUAAUAGCACUAACUAAUACGUAAUAUAUUUUGCAAUAAAAAUACAUAUGAUUAUAACCGUAAUUAUAUA